AUGACUGCUUGUGAAUUACUAGUCUGCAUCGCUUUCUUAAGAAUUAUACCACUUCUACUACGUUGAUCAUCUUUCCAAAAUGUUCUUACACUGACAACUUUUCUUCUUGCCUCAUUCUUUACUGCCUUCAAGUUUGUCUCAAGUUCUUUUACUUAGUUUGUGUUCUCUCAGUUGGUAUUGUUGCAAAGAUACUUCAUAUUUCUUAAUACGCUUUCUCUGUUCAACAGCAUCAGUUUCCACAGAAGAAACGUCAACACGUGCACUCUUUUCUUCUGAGAGUCACAAUCAGAAGUUGCUAAGGAAUGACACGCACCGUUGAUCUAGAUAACACAGUCAUGAUACUAUACUAAUCACCGCUGUUUCACAACAAUGAAAAUUCACCACUUAGUUUAUCAGGAUGUAGUACAUGAUUAUGACAUCAUUCCAAAAACCACAAGCCAGUGGAAAUGGGUCUGGUCUUAGGAGUAUCCCCAUGGGAAGGGGAGUUCCUAAGUAUGUGUAAAUUCUGUACUUCCCGUUUCAUAAAAAUCACGCGAACACAGCUUUAGUUGUAGCUGCUUGUACAAGUACAUGUUGUGGCCAACAUGAAUGGUGUCUGCAGCAAAGAAGCGCUUCUGUCCACAAACGCGUUUUCCAAGACUAGUAACAAGCAGUAUACUAUAAAGGAAGCUUUCAGAAGGUCGGCACGUUAUGGUAGACGGUGCAACAUGG
Molecule: long non-coding RNA, 711 nt
Organism: Halichondria panicea
Lineage: Eukaryota; Metazoa; Porifera; Demospongiae; Suberitida; Halichondriidae
Exons: 2
Source: RefSeq, a predicted model, not a curated record